Molecule: signal recognition particle RNA, 99 nt
Filed under: Prevotella sp.
Lineage: Bacteria; Pseudomonadati; Bacteroidota; Bacteroidia; Bacteroidales; Prevotellaceae
Description: signal recognition particle sRNA small type
Rfam family: Bacterial small signal recognition particle RNA
About the family: The signal recognition particle (SRP) is a universally conserved ribonucleoprotein involved in the co-translational targeting of proteins to membranes. Archaeal SRP consists of a 7S RNA and homologues of the eukaryotic SRP19 and SRP54 proteins.
Source: RNAcentral
AGCCAGGAACCAUGCAAAUGAACGCCGCCUAACUCCGCCAGGUUCGGAAGGAAGCAACGGUAAGCGGAUGGUUAUUGUGCCGUGGCCUCCCUGGUUGCG